RNAcentral lists this small RNA (103 nucleotides) under Stappia sp. RNAcentral describes it as "Guanidine-I sequence". It matches the Rfam family "Guanidine-I riboswitch aptamer". Rfam says of the family: This family represents a conserved RNA structure found upstream of the ykkC and yxkD genes in Bacillus subtilis and related genes in other bacteria. The function of this family is unclear although it has been suggested that it may function to switch on efflux pumps and detoxification systems in response to harmful environmental molecules. Nelson showed that this riboswitch senses and responds to guanidine and it was renamed Guanidine-I riboswitch. Lineage: Bacteria; Pseudomonadati; Pseudomonadota; Alphaproteobacteria; Hyphomicrobiales; Stappiaceae. The record is from RNAcentral.
GUGCGGUGCGUCUAGGGUUCCGGCGUCGAACGACGUGUCUGGUCCGAGAGACGCAAGCCCUGCCGGUGGCGGGGUUACACGGCGGGCCAAAAUCCCGGGAGGA